Molecule: long non-coding RNA, 1211 nt
Organism: Oryctolagus cuniculus (rabbit)
Lineage: Eukaryota; Metazoa; Chordata; Mammalia; Lagomorpha; Leporidae
Source: RefSeq, a predicted model, not a curated record
CACUGCAGGCCAGGGCCUUAACCAGCUGCACCACAGCGCCGGCCCCACAUGCACAGAUUUACACCAAAAUAGGCAUCUUUUGAUCCCCUUUUCCAUGAUCUUUUUAAAGUGACUUUGGCACAGGGGAGCUCAUCAGGAAAAGCCCCAGAAAGGAAUCUAAACAAUGACUCCCGGGAGCUCUAAUUGGAAGAGAGCUGGUGUGCCCGCACCUGGAAGCUGCCCCUUCCUUGUCAUCGGUGUGAUCUCCGCGUGGUUAGUUGUCUUCCAGUCUACAGUAGUUCAGGACAGUAAAUUUUUUUUUUAAAUUUAUUUGACAGGUAGAAUUAUAGACAGUGAGAGAGAGAGACAGAGAGAAAGGUCUUCCUUCCGUUGGUUCACUCCCCAAAUGGCCGCCACAGCCGACGCUGCACCUAUCCAAAGCCAGGAGCCAGGUGCUUCCUCCUGGUCUCCCAUGUGCCAAGCACUUGGGCCAUCCUCCAUUGCCCUCCCGGGCCACAGCAGAGAGCUGGACUGGAAGAGGAGCAACCGGGACUAGAACCCUGGUUGCCGGCACUGCAGGUGGAGGAUUAGCCAAGUGAGCCACAGCGCCGGCCCCUCAGGCAGGCUGAUGAAUGAGACAAACAGACUCAGCAUACUCAGGGCCUUGAGUGGCAGGCAAAGCUCUCUGCACCACUUGCAACAGAGUCAUCAAGAAGAAGCUUGAAACUCCUUCAAGAAGGCUGCAAUUUCACAGCAUUUCCAUGGAAAUUCAGGACUGGAAGUGGACGUCAACUCUUGCUGCCCCUGUUCUCUCCUGCCCCUGGGCUGGUGUGUGCUGCCCCUUCAUCACAACGCACAAUGACUUGUUUAAUGACUGGGGCCAAGGCUUACAGUGCGGAUGACCUUGGAAGAAAUAACACAUUGGCUUGAACUUGUAGUAGGUCGGAAAUGAUUGAUUCCCUAGAACUGUUUUUGCUGGACUAUGGGGGGGGGAGGGGUGGUCCUGAAGUGUGUGUGUGUGUGUGUUGUGUGUGUGUCUGUGUGGUGUCAUCAGUGAGAAGACAGAAGGCACAGGUGCUCCUGAUGCAAUUUAUCACCCCAAAGUGUAAGUUGCCAGUAUCGCAAGCACCGCCCACAGGUGCACUUGCACACACACACACACACACACACCCAGGAGCUCUGAUAACUCAUCUCCCCUCUGAAAGUACUUUUAUCUCCUGGAGUUGGUGCCA